UACGUAGGGGGCAAGCGUUGUUCGGAAUUACUGGGCGUAAAGCGAGUGUAGGCGGUUUGGUAAGUCGGAUGUGAAAGCCCCGGGCUCAACCCGGGAAGUGCACUCGAUACUGCCAAGCUAGAGUAUCGGAGAGGUUGGUGGAAUUCUCGGUGUAGAGGUGAAAUUCGUAGAUAUCGAGAGGAACACCGGUGGCGAAGGCGGCCAACUGGACGAAUACUGACGCUGAGGAGCGAAAGCGUGGGGAGCGAACAGG
This 253-nucleotide ribosomal RNA is filed under the name uncultured bacterium. RNAcentral describes it as "partial 16S ribosomal RNA". It matches the Rfam family "Bacterial small subunit ribosomal RNA", at positions 524 to 776 of the family's 1533-position model. The record is from RNAcentral.